This 643-nucleotide long non-coding RNA is filed under the name Trifolium pratense (red clover). RNAcentral describes it as "long non-coding RNA (TPRA_LNC006738)". The record is from RNAcentral. Lineage: Eukaryota; Viridiplantae; Streptophyta; Magnoliopsida; Fabales; Fabaceae.
AAUAAUCAAACUUAGCAAAAAAAAUAUAUAGAGAAACAGAUGAAAAAAAAUUAAAAAAAAUUUAUUCAUCAAUUUUUUUAAAAAAAAGAAAUACAAACAUAUCAUAAAAUACAAUGAGUAAAAUAAAAAAAAAAAAGUUGAGAUCUAAACUUCAAACACUGAUUUGUUGUUGUUGUUGUUGCAUGAACCAAAAUUGGAGAAGAAGAUCACAACAAACAGACUAAAUUCGCUUUCCGGCACAGUGACAUUAUUUUCCGGCACAGAGGUCAAGGGAUUAAAAGUUUUCUGAUAUUGAUUUUUUUUGUGGUUAUGUAGAGGAGGUGGAGGAGAGCCUAUAUAUGGUGAUAAUUUUUCAAAAUCUGGUCUAUGGUGGUGAAGAUCUAAUGGGGAAAGUGGCGUUGAGACAUCCAAAAUACUCUUCGAUCUAAAAAAAAAUUAGACAGAAAGCUAGAGGAGAGGAUGAAGAUGAUGGUGGAACAACCAAAAGAGAUGGAAAAAUAUAGAUUGAACAAGGUAAGGUGGUGAUAGGUGGUGUGUGGCGGCUAGGUUUUUCACGGGGAGAGAGUUCUCCAAAAAAUUGACAAUGAAGAGAGAGAAAGAAAAUAGUAGUAAGUGAUUUGUGAGAGCUUAAAGUAAAAAAAUU